Molecule: ribosomal RNA, 391 nt
Filed under: Euoticus elegantulus (western needle-clawed galago)
Lineage: Eukaryota; Metazoa; Chordata; Mammalia; Primates; Galagidae
Description: partial 12S ribosomal RNA
Rfam family: Bacterial small subunit ribosomal RNA
Source: RNAcentral
GCUUAACCGUAAACUCAAAUAAUUAAUAACAAAAUUAUUCGCCAGAGAACUACAAGCAAUAGCUCAAAACUCAAAGGACUUGGCGGUGCUUUAUAUCCCUCUAGAGGAGCCUGUUCUAUAACCGAUAAACCCCGAUAAACCUCACCACCCCUUGCUAAUUCAACCUAUAUACCGCCAUCUUCAGCAAACCCUGUUAAGGAGACAAAGUAAGCAAGAGAAUAGCACAUUAAGACGUUAGGUCAAGGUGUAGUCCAUGAGGUGGGAAGAAAUGGGCUACAUUUUCUACUCACAUAGAAUAACUACGCUAACCCAAGUGAAAUAAAGGGUGAAAGGCGGAUUUAGUAGUAAAUUAAGAAUAGAGAGCUUAAUUGAAUUGGGCAAUGAAGCACGC